This 473-nucleotide ribosomal RNA is filed under the name uncultured organism. RNAcentral describes it as "partial 16S ribosomal RNA". It matches the Rfam family "Bacterial small subunit ribosomal RNA", at positions 332 to 797 of the family's 1533-position model. The record is from RNAcentral.
UACACUCCUACGGGAGGCAGCAGUGGGGAAUUUUGGACAAUGGGCGAAAGCCUGAUCCAGCAAUGCCGCGUGUGUGAAGAAGGCCUUCGGGUUGUAAAGCACUUUUGUCCGGAAAGAAAUCCUUGGCUCUAAUACAGUCGGGGGAUGACGGUACCGGAAGAAUAAGCACCGGCUAACUACGUGCCAGCAGCCGCGGUAAUACGUAGGGUGCGAGCGUUAAUCGGAAUUACUGGGCGUAAAGCGUGCGCAGGCGGUUUGCUAAGACCGAUGUGAAAUCCCCGGGCUCAACCUGGGAACUGCAUUGGUGACUGGCAGGCUAGAGUAUGGCAGAGGGGGGUAGAAUUCCACGUGUAGCAGUGAAAUGCGUAGAGAUGUGGAGGAAUACCGAUGGCGAAGGCAGCCCCCUGGGCCAAUACUGACGCUCAUGCACGAAAGCGUGGGGAGCAAACAGGAUUAGAUACCCCAGUAGUCCC